AAGAAAAGAAAAAGAAGAUUAGGAGCAGGAGGUAAAACAGUGUGAAUGACCAACACAAAAUUCUUGGGAUAGCUGAAAGGGGCUUCAGCUCUGUCAUUCUGGGGGUUUGUACUAUGGGUUUGGAUGUUCACUUGUUUAAGCUGAAGCUGCUAUUCAUAUUUUUCUGCAAAAAUGUAUAGCGUAGGAGUAAUGUGAUAAAAUUUAUGCUAAACAUUGCAACCUCAGCUCUAGUAAAACGGGACCAAUCGCUUUUCUUAGUUCCUUAUAUUGCUUUAAAAAUAUCUCAGUUUUAAUGAGGCAUGGAAAGUACCGAAAAAUCUGACAGCUUUAGUGGCUGUUAAAGAACACAUAUAAGAAAACUGCUACAUGUUCUUUCAAGCUGAUCAAUACUUAACUUUAAAGUUAUUACAAAUCAAAUGCAUCAUUAACAUUCAGCAUGCUAGCGCUUCUAAUACGCACGACUUCAUGUUAAACUAUUUUAACAAGAUAAUAUAACACCAUUAAAACUUAACUGUCAGCAUAACUGUGCUACAACCUCACGAGAAAUACCUGGAGCUGACCACUGGUAGCUGUGUUGCCGUGUAUCGCAUCACACAGCUGUGAUCCAUUUUUGCACAUAAACACACCCACACAUACAUGUGUACAUAUGUAUAUGUUUAAAAAUCAUACUGCAGUUUGAAUUUGUAUUUUUAUUACACAGGAUAUAGCACAUUAAACGGAACACUGAAAGGAACAAACUAAAUUUUUUCACUUAAACAAGGCUAUUUUCUGUGCAAAUAACACAGUUGCUUGGAAAAAUGUCAUCAAGAUCAUCAGUGUUUGAUGAGAAAACAAGAACUAAAUGGUCAGUGUAUUUGCACAGAACUACCGAGCAAAAAGGCGCGGCAGCCGGAAAGCCCUGAAGGCUUCCUGGGUUCUGGCUGGUGUCAUGGCACAGGUCACAGUGGUGCCACAUGUCCCCAGCACCACACCGGAGUAUGAUCUCUUCACCUAUCGUUGUUCAACAUGGAAAGGAAAAUGUCCCAGCUAAAUAGUUUUAAUAAAAUGGUUACGUUUUGAAGAACAGAAAACAGCCCAUGUCUACGAGGAGUCUGUUGUGGGGUGUUUUUACCUAUAGACAUUCUGUCAGCUCAAAGUGACAACACAGCCUACUGCCAUCCCCCCAGACAGCGUCACACCCGCCAGCUCUGCACACCUCAGACCAGCUUCCUCUUGUGCCUUCUACAACUAAGAUUUCCUAUGAAAUUCUCUCAAGCAGAGAAUGGCCUGAAGAGACCAGCUGGAAUGCGAGCAACUACUCGCUGCCAGCAGCUCGUCCUGCUACUGAUACUUAACACCUUUUGGGCACUUUGUUCCUCUCUCACCCUUGGUGCAGUAGUGUGCCCUCCCCUCCAGGCCAGCUGCCUGCAUGGCCACACAAACACUGCAAAUGGCCCCAGCCAGGUUUCGGGCAUUCAUUCAACUGAGGCUCCCAUGAAGGCAGCAGCCCUGAGGUCCUUCCUGUGAGUGCCGUUCUCUUUCAGGUUCUUUCGUAGUCUGUUCUGGAAGGACAACUAACAGCAUCCUUCUUCUCCAAGUACUAGUUCUUUUGUAAGAAAAGCAAACCUUUUUUCCCUGAGGAAAACCCAUUUCUGACAGUCAGCAAGGAAGAAUAAAAGUACUUAACUAUGGGAGGAAACCUACCUGCUCCAACUUCAUUUCCAACACUUGGAAUAAUAUCAUCUAGACAAUCUGGUUAAAAUACGCUUGUGUUCUCGCACGCUUCGCUGUAUGGCUUUCCGUGUGGCAUGGCUCCCUGUCCACCCCCCCACCCCCCAUGGGCCCAGAACCGACAGGUAACAGAGCAAGUGCUUUUAAAUGUGCUUUCACCGCAUUUGUCACAACCUUUAGCGCUUUUAGGCUUUUUUGUUUUUUAAGAGGCUCAAGCACUUGGGUAGUCAUAACGUCAAGGCAGCGCUAGAGCUUUAGCGGCAGGGCGGAGGCGCCGGGCGGUGGGCGGGGAGCGAGGCCUAGCGCGGCGCAGGGCGGGAAGGCGGCUCCGCGGCGGGGCGCGGGGAGAGCGGCGCGUGCGGGGCGCCCGUGUGCUCCGGGGGAACUCGCCCAGGGACUGGGAUACAGGGGAUUAACCGCAACCUCCUCAGGGCGGCCAGCGGGGUGAGGCUGAGGUGACAGGGCCUGGCCGCCGCCCCGGCCGCCUCCUUACUUGUACUCCUCCUCCCGGGCCAGCAAACCGGCGCUGACGAGGCCGGGCCCCGUGGCGGCGGGCGGCAGGGGGCCGCCGGGCGGCCUCCGCACCUGCAGCGAGAAGGAGUUGGUGGGGGGGGGGCGGGCACGGCGCGGCCACGCUGCCCCCGCUCACCUUCCCGUGCCCCAGCCGCCGCCUUACCGCGGGCAGGCCCCUGCCCCGCCGGGCCCCGCCGCCGCCGGCCGCCGCCAUUUUGUUCACGCGGAGGCUGCUGCGUGGCGUUUCCUUCGCCAGGGCAACGGCAGCGGCGGGGGCGUCUCUGCUCCGUCCCCUCCUCCGCCCCGGGGCCCGGGGACGCUCCCCUGCUGCCGCCGCACGUGGCCCUGGCCGGGCCAGGAGGGCAGGGGCAGGGGCAGCCACCCGCUGCGGGGUGGCGGGGGGCUGGAGCGCUCGGCCCCCCCGUGCCAGGGUGCCACCACCUCGGCGCCCGGUGGCAGCCACUGUCUGAGGGCCUGGCGACCUGGGGACGGGACCCCGAGCAGAGGCUGGGGAUCAGCUGGCUCCGGGCAUGGCGCAGGGCCACCAUGGGUUCAGGUUGAGCAUCCAACCUAAACACGCUGGUUAAGACCGCAAAGAUCGCUGUGUGUACUGAGAAGACUAUAACCACCACUGCUGACUCAUUCACUGCCACGCUCGUCUGACAUAAGAACUGCUACCCAACCUCUCCAUCCCACCCCUGUUCACACGUCGUUAUCUGCCCAUGGACCCAUCUGCCCUCAGCAGCUCUCUGGCUUCAUCCCCAUCUCAGUGGUACCUUUCCUGAUAGCCUAAUUUUAGCUCUGAGCUAGAUGCAGUGCCUAGAUAGGGUAAGUAGAUUUUAGCCAGAUGGAUUAUGAACAACAUUUUCUUGUCAAUGUUCUUGGCUCCAACCCCACAGAAGAUUGCUUCAGCCCAGCAGAAUAAAAUCCUGUCCUUCAGGCAGCUGAGCCAGUUGCCUUACUUUAGCAUGCAAUGUGUAAUUAUCCUGUAUGUUCCGUAUUACGGGUAUUCCACUCAAGAGCUUCUGUUUUGCACCUGAAAUCUGGAUGUGCUGCUGACUUCAGGACAACACAGUGCAAACUUUCUUGCAAAGGUAGAUGAAGGCAUUAAGAAUCUGGACCUAUGUAUAGUAUCAUAAAUGAACAGUCUUUCAUUUCUUACAUUUCACCCUGGUAAGAGAAAAUAAUGUCCAUGCUCCACUGAGCUCAAUGCUAGAAAGGAAAACUCCCUGUGAAGCCUACAAACCUGUUCAAUGUAAAUAUAUAAUAUGCCUUUUUUUUCCCCAACUUGAUUCAGAUGAUAAACGAAUGAGAUUUAGUCCAUCAGUCCUCAUUGAGUAAUUCUGCAAUCACAUAUUCAUGCUGAGGAAGAUCUUUCAGUGGGAUUCUUUGCCAGCUAUUGGAAGUGGGAUCAUUGCAGAAGUACUAACAUUUUCCUGGUACUUAUCAAAUGCAGCACAAAUCUGCCUGGUAUCUUUGUUAAUUAUUUAGAGUGUGGCAGACAAAGAUAAUAUUCUUGGAGUUAUUGUUGGAAUAAUUUAUCAUCUAUUAUGAAGUGAAAGCGAUUUUGAUAUAUGAGCACUAUUGGGGGGAAUGGCCAGUGUGAAAACUCCAACCAGAUCUCUGUGCAUGAUAUUCUUGUCUCAUAGGAAGCAGUGGGAGUAAUAUGUGAAAAAGAGUUGCUCACAAAUCAGUAUCCUUUGGAGCUGUCUAGAUGACUUUACUGCACUUGGUGAUAUUCUGCAAAAAGAAAGAUCCUCUUUCCCCUUCUUGAGCCUUUUUAUGUCACAGACUAUGCAGACAAAGCCACAUGUGUAACAGCUUACACUAGUUCUUCAGCAAAGAAUGCAGAGUAGGAUCGGGUACAAAACAAAGGUUCCAGUCCAUGAUGGUGAUUGCAACUACAAAUCUCAGUGAAAAACAGUGUUAAUCAUUAAAACAAAGGUAUUCUUAGAACUGUCUCCAUUAUUAGAGGCUGAUUUAUCUUUCCACGUUACAGUGGGAUGAAUACUGGACAAGCCUUUGCAGUGCUUUCACUCACAGCUUAACUGGAAUCACAAACAGUUUUCAUAAUGAAGUCCACCGUCUGCAAAAGAUUUGUAUUCCAAGUGUAUGCGUAGACUCUGUUGUUCCAGAUUGUACUUCUUUCCCGAAGCAUGCACUGACAAGCUCUUCAGUAUGUUUAUUACUGUACAAUACUGUGAGCCAACUAAUGUUUAUUACUGGCUGUGCGUUAGGUCAAUCCAGAUUCACCACAACAAGGAACAUUUUAAAUGGGUUGUGCCUGAAGGGCAGUAUCCCUUAUGGAUCAGCACAGUGGGGAGAAGAACCUGCACCUUAAUAAGGAUGUACUGAGCUCCCACCUCAGCCUCAGGGGAGAGCAGGGAGACUGACAAGUCCUGUCCUUGUAUUCCCUAAGCACAGCCACUCUUGCUUCGUACCUGGCCUUUUUCCAGGGCUCUGGGAUGGAGGAAAUCCUCCUCAUGUCCUGCUUCACUCCAUAUAGCUGCACUAAGGCCAACCACAAUUACUGGUAUGGGUAUAAUGUUGAAUAUUUAAGUCUAUGUAACAUCAUAAAUACAUGUGUAUUAUACCUAAGUUAUGUUCACAGAGCAAAGAUGCAUCCAUAAAUAUAUGUACCAGACUGCUUCAUACACAGAUGCUAUUUAUUCUAUAUUAAUUAAUAUUGCAUGGAGAAUUUCCUCCCUCUUUAAAUAUCUCAAACAUCCUUUUUUAGAAUCAAAAUGUACUCAUACAGAUUCUUUUUGCUUUGACAGCUGACCGUUGUAUUUUAUCUUCAUUCAACAUAGGUGGCCUUGGUUUGGUUUUAUAAUUGCUGUCUUGUGUAUCUUCUAUCUAAAUGUCAUUAUUGUAAUUCUGCUUUCUACUUAAAUCAAGUUAAUUGAUUUAAUCAGUUUAAAGGUGGAAAGCAAACAAUGGUGCUAACUCUCCCAAAAUCUGGAGAGUUAAUAGGUCACGUUUGACAGGGUUUCAGUCUGCAGGUGUUGGCUUCACUGGCCAUCACUUUUUUUCAUAGUUUGUUUUUUCUAACAUCACACAUAAGGACAAAAUGCAGCCACUGCCGAGAUUUUACCGUUCAGUGUAACUUGUUCAGAAAUACCGCUUGAGACAUGUGGUCUUUGCCAUUGUAAUCUUAUGACAGAACAUUUCUGCCUUACAACUAGAGCCACACAUAGAUGUGGCUAAAACCAAAAAAAUAAUGGCACUAUCAUGGAUAUUCAAAUCCCAUUGCUUUAAGGGACACUAAAGGAAACUAGGCCAAAAACUUGACCUAUUUUAAAAGACAUGCCAAUCUGUUCUUUUAAAAAAUCAUUCACGCUUCAUUGAGUCUGUCUCUCCUAUACCAUGAAAAAUAUCAUACAGUAGCAAAAUUCGAAAUUCUCUGUACAGUUUCCCAUACAAAUAUUGCAAGCUGAAUUCUCCAGUUUUAAUUUUUUUUUCUCCAUCACUGAUCUUGAGAAAGAAACCAUCUUAAAAAUGCAUAAACUGAACUAAUUAGGUGUAGCUAACUAAAAUGUAGCUAGCCACAUCACUGCACUUUCUCCCUAGCAUUCGCUACAGUGGGCCCAUUUGACAACCGAAAGGUCUUGGGGCCCAUAAAGGAUUUUUGCUUCUAGGGGCUUCCAUGUUUUGAAUUUGAGAACCAGGAGCAGUGAGCCAUAUUUCUCAGUUAUUUUGUUGUUUGAAAUCUGGCUGUGAAACUCUAUUUACUUUGUGUUGGACUCCUGCCAGAGGAGGCCUGGUUUUAGCAGAUGGUCGCGGAGCGGAGGCCAGACGUUUCCUGCUGGGUCCUGACGAGGCACUGAUAGCACCGCUCCCAGGCACAGGCAGCGCUGCCUUCAGCAGCCACGGAUGCUGGAGGUGCCAUGACUGCUGGCGGAAAGGUUGUGAAGAGUGCGUGCAGCAGCCCUUGGGGCAAAAGCCUCCGUCGAUGAGAGGGUCCUGAUGUGGCGCUCAGAGGUGGUGGAGCUGCCGGCCACAAGAUGAGCAGGGGGAGGGCUGAAGUUUUGACCAAGAAGAACUGAAGUGUUACAACCAGAUGGACAUAAACCAGUAGUGAUGAGAUGUGAUUGCUUUGAUCUUUGACAGGACACCUCACUGUCUUGUCAGGCAUAAAGCGCUGAAAAAAGAAAGGCAAAAUGGGAGGCUACGGCAUCGCACUGUUGUGUGGGUUUACCUGUCUGCUCUACAGUCACAACAUGCAAAUAGCAUUUUCCUCUCCCCCCAUUUCUGGGGGGCAACUUCCCUGAGAACAAAAAUCCUUAAUGUGUCCUCGGGCUGGUGUUUGAUCUUUGAAGACACUGCCUGCUCGCAAGAUGGGGAAUCAAAGGGCAAUGCCACCAUCGCAAGCACUUG
This is a long non-coding RNA of Falco peregrinus (peregrine falcon), 6600 nucleotides long. RefSeq lists it as uncharacterized. The record is from RefSeq and is a predicted model, not a curated record. Lineage: Eukaryota; Metazoa; Chordata; Aves; Falconiformes; Falconidae. The transcript is spliced from 4 exons.